Molecule: ribosomal RNA, 429 nt
Filed under: uncultured Lactobacillus sp.
Lineage: Bacteria; Bacillati; Bacillota; Bacilli; Lactobacillales; Lactobacillaceae
Description: bacterial SSU rRNA
Rfam family: Bacterial small subunit ribosomal RNA
Source: RNAcentral
UAGGGAAUCUUCCACAAUGGGCGCAAGCCUGAUGGAGCGACACCGCGUGAGUGAAGAAGGGUUUCGGCUCGUAAAACUCUGUUGUUGAAGAAGAACGUGCGUGAGAGUAACUGUUCACGCAGUGACGGUAUUCAACCAGAAAGUCACGGCUAACUACGUGCCAGCAGCCGCGGUAAUACGUAGGUGGCAAGCGUUAUCCGGAUUUAUUGGGCGUAAAGCGAGCGCAGGCGGUUACUUAGGUCUGAUGUGAAAGCCUUCGGCUUAACCGAAGAAGUGCAUCGGAAACCGGGUGACUUGAGUGCAGAAGAGGACAGUGGAACUCCAUGUGUAGCGGUGGAAUGCGUAGAUAUAUGGAAGAACACCAGUGGCGAAGGCGGCUGUCUGGUCUGCAACUGACGCUGAGGCUCGAAAGCAUGGGUAGCGAACAGG